Molecule: long non-coding RNA, 254 nt
Filed under: Elaeis guineensis (African oil palm)
Lineage: Eukaryota; Viridiplantae; Streptophyta; Magnoliopsida; Arecales; Arecaceae
Description: long non-coding RNA (EGUI_LNC028476)
Source: RNAcentral
CUCAUGCACAGUGCUAGCUAAACAUAAUCAGUGUUUAAUUCCAUAUGAUCUAUGACUUAAUUUUUAAUUAAGUUAAUCUACAUGUUCAAUCAAGUCUCAUACUUUUAAAUUGAAUACAUAAAUAUUCGAUCAAUUAUUUUUAACAUUGUUUGACUUUUGUGCGUAACUCCAUAGGUUCGAACACUAAGCCGAUAGUAUAGAAACUCCUUCCUAUACUAAUCGAAGUGACCAUCUAGUAAUGAUACUCGACGUCC